Molecule: long non-coding RNA, 514 nt
Organism: Sander lucioperca (pikeperch)
Lineage: Eukaryota; Metazoa; Chordata; Actinopteri; Perciformes; Percidae
Exons: 3
Source: RefSeq, a predicted model, not a curated record
UUAGUCACAGACCGAGUGCCUCGUCAUUCAAUACUAAAUUUCAAUACCUGAGGAGUACAUCUCAUCAGCGUCAGGGAGCCAAUAAGCAUGCAGCAUGCUUCUACCAAGAUUUAAUAACGUUUGUGAUUGGCUGUCUAACGUAACACGUCGUAGAGGAACGCAGGAAAAACUCGACGUUACGCACGGAGACGGGGCACACGUAAUAGCAGUUGAAAAAUAAGUAAAAAGAUUUGUGCCGUAAUGCGUAAUGUUGUAAUUUCUUUUGUAAAAUCUUUUGUUAAAAUGUAUGUUUAUGCAGCAAAAAAAACGCCCGCACACUGUCACAAGAUGGUCUAGUACCGAAACCUUGCCUCCUAUUUAACUCCAUGGGCCUUAUUUUAACGAUCUAAGCGCACGGGGUGAAGCGCCUGGUGAAGGUGCAUUCAGGGCGUGUCCAAAUCCACUUUUGCUAGUUUGACAGCGGAAAAAGGCUCCAGGCGCAUGGUUCAAAGGGGAAACUUAGUCUCUUAAUUAA